GUUGUUGAUGAGAGAAGCACUAGAGCGUAUUCUUACACCAUUUUAUCGUACAGACUACUUCAGGUAGUUUCGAUUUACGUGUAGAGUAGCACCGUGCAAGUCAUUGUGGUGAUUUCGGUUGGAUUAGAUAUUGAGCUUUAGAAUUAACCGUACAGGACCAACUGCAGGGUCUCCAGUUGAUUCCUUAUUUCACCUGUUAUAAUGUUGCAUUCUUAUUCUGUUGUUGACGCUUAUAGCAUGGCAUACUUUCUGGUUUUUGGUAAAGAUUUGUGAUUUGAGAUAUAGGAAGAUUUAUAUGCAUAUUAUGUUAUUUUAUGGGAAAGUAUACAGGUUUUACAGCGAGGGGUUAGAAAUGUUAUUAUUUGAAACGUUUUCGAAAAGCUUUGUUUUACUGACCCACUCAACUUUGUUUUGCACCCCUCCAGGUUCUAGUUAGCAGCAUUGGUGGUCCACGAGGAUUCCCACGACAU
Molecule: long non-coding RNA, 470 nt
Filed under: Malus domestica (apple)
Lineage: Eukaryota; Viridiplantae; Streptophyta; Magnoliopsida; Rosales; Rosaceae
Description: long non-coding RNA (MDOM_LNC005776)
Source: RNAcentral